This 426-nucleotide ribosomal RNA is filed under the name uncultured bacterium. Its description in RNAcentral is "bacterial SSU rRNA". It matches the Rfam family "Bacterial small subunit ribosomal RNA", at positions 359 to 776 of the family's 1533-position model. The record is from RNAcentral.
GAAUUUUCCGCAAUGGGCGAAAGCCUGACGACGCAACGCCGCGUGGAGGAUGAAGACUUUCGGGUCGUAAACUCCUUUCGACCGAGAUGAAUACCUGCCGACCUAAUACGUCGGCAGGCUGACAGUAUCGAGGGAAGAAGCCCCGGCUAACCCCGUGCCAGCAUCCGCGGUAAUACGGGGGGGGCAAGCGUUGUUCGGAAUUACUGGGCGUAAAGGGUUCGUAGGUGGCCAACUCAGUCAGACGUGAAAUCCCUCGGCUCAACCGGGGAACUGCGUCUGAUACUGGAUGGCUUGAGUGCAGGAGAGGAACGCGGAAUUCCAGGUGUAGCGGUGAAAUGCGUAGAUAUCUGGAGGAACACCGGUGGCGAAGGCGGCGUUCUGGACUGUAACUGACACUGAGGAACGAAAGCCAGGGGAGCAAACGGG